This 3008-nucleotide long non-coding RNA is filed under the name Sus scrofa (pig). RNAcentral describes it as "lncRNA (ENSSSCG00015069799.1)". The record is from RNAcentral. Lineage: Eukaryota; Metazoa; Chordata; Mammalia; Artiodactyla; Suidae.
GUGUUUGCGUUCAGAGUGAUGCACGCGUCCAAGACAGAGGUUUUUGCCAAGUGGGAGUGUCAGGGACUCACUCCUUAAACGAGAACCCCUCCACCCCUCUGGGAAGGCCUCAGGCGGGGGAGGUGUGGGCUGGCAAGUCCGAGGCUGUCGCUAGAGCUGGGGCCAGGAGUUCUGCCCCAUGCUGUCCUCAGCCCAGCGCCCUGGUUGGCUCGCCACCUCCUUCGGGCCCUUUUCUGAUUUUCUGGGGGCCCCGGCUCUGUCACACACGGGCUGGGCUGGGCUGGGCUCCCCCCCACCCCAGGGCAGGCAAGGGGGUGUUUGCCAGAGGCCCCGCGCUGAGCCUCUGAGAAGCGUGCACACUCCCUGUUGGACCAGGGAGGGUCAGAGACCCCCAGGAAGCAUGGGACAGCCUGGAAACACAGCUGCUAGGACAACUCCAGACGUGAGAGAGAGAUGCAUAGAGAUGAGCGUAUGAAAUCUGUAUAUAGAUGUAGAUGCUUUAUUUAGAUGUAUUACAGUUACACACUUGUGGCUUACGGAAAGUUCUAGAGUUGUAACCUGCUCUCAUCUCAUAGCCUCCUUCUGCUCUGUGUGUCGUGUUCUGCUCUGAGCCCAGUGCUUGGCACGUCGUGAAUCCUUGCAAAAUGAGUGUUGCUCCCUUAGCACACUGAACUCAAGGUCUAGACCGCAGUCCACCCUGACCUCAUGUUAGGAUGGUGUCUUUGGAUUCCGUGGCAAGGUUGCCGGGAAGCUCGUGUUUAUGUGAGGUGCAGGCCAUCUUUGCGAGGGUGGCAGGAUGGAUCCCCACGCAGGGCCAGGGCCAGUGGCCUGAGGCCCUUUGCUUGGGCUCCAGUCUGGUUUUUCUUCAGCCCCAGCCUGCCCAGGAUUGGGGCAACUGUCGUUACAUAAUGGGCCGGGGAAGGCCGUGGUUCCGUGCGCUCUGCUGUGCAUUUCUAUUGCUGGAGUAAGUGAGUGACUGCGUGAUGACGGGCCAGGCAGUAGCCAGAUUUUAAUGAAAAAGACUUGGCUGUCCCCAGCAUAGCGUCCUCCCAUUGGUUCUACUGGAUGAGCCAACUCAAUUUUUUUGGCCUCACGAGCAGCAUGUGGAACUUCCCAGCCAGGAGAGUGAGACCUGUGCCACAGCAGGGACUAGAGCCAUAGCAGUGACACCACCAGGUCCUUAACCCGUUGAGCUACUAGGAAACUCCCUAACUCAUUUAUGAUAGUCCUGCAUCGUUUGGUUGUCCAUUCGCGGUCUAAUCUCACUCCUCUCCAUUAGACGUUGACUCUGAUGCCAUGUGAAGUAUUGUUUUCCUUUAGAACCGGUCAUCGGUCACGUGUGCCACAGGAACUGAACGGGUAUUGCCUGGAAUCAGCCAGAGAGCAUCCGGAGAGGAUGCUUGCCUUAUGGUGCCUUGAAAUCGGGGUCCCAGCUGACUGGCUGGAGACCUGCAUGGUGGCCCACACUUGCUCUGUGGCGGACACCUGGAGUGCAAAAACUGAAACUAUUUCGGACUUCCCGCCCGCUUUCCAGGCUCCCCGCCUCCAGCGCUGUCCCUGGAAGCCAGCCUCACACCUCUGGGCGGUGAGACGCUGGCCACCCUGAGUGCAUCAUUUGCCCUUUGAAACUUUGGAUGCUCUUUAAGAGCUGUUUAAGCGCUGUGGCCGUAUCUUCACGGCACUGGUACACUGUCCUGAGGGAACGCAUUGCCUUUGGAUGCAAACAGAUAAGGACAGUUCGGGUGUUGGCUUCGAACGGGGCCCUCUGGCGGAGACGGCCUCUCCCGACGGGUUCAAUUAGCUGCUAGCGGUGAGGUGAACGGUCUCAGAUGGAGGUGGGAACCCUAGACAGCAGGUCUGGGCGCCCCUUGGCUGCUUGCAAAGGGAAGGCAGGAACCCAAGGCCACGGGGACACUGCGGCUCCAAGACCAGGAGGGCAGAGGGCAACAUCAGUCCCCUGCAAAGCGCAGCAUGAGCGGUGUCUUAGAACCUUCGCUUCGACUGUCUGCAAAACUUGCUCUGCCUUGCUUUGCAAGGCCGCCAGGCACCUUAAACAAAGACAUGCUGGGGACAGCAGGGUACCAGCGGUGACUCCCUGUGAACCGUUCAGAACAGGCGGGGACCCCACCUCUUCAACCCCCACCCCACCGCCACCACCACCCAGCCUGGGGGACGUGCGAUGCUGAGUCUGUGCCUUGUUAGGGAGCAAAGUGUGACAGGCUUGGUGUGUGUGUGACAAAGUUGUGUGUGGAAUUAAGUAGCAUGUGAGCUCUCGAGCCAGGAAGUUGAGGUCAGGGGGCUUCCGGCGGGCUGGUGGGAAGGACGGGGAGGUGGGGGUGUGUUCGGGAAGCCCAGGAGGGCAGGAGGCUUUCUGGAGGGCAGUCCUGGGCUAAGAGGUCAUCAGAACCAGCUUGUGGAGAGCCAGACGCCAGGCGGAGAAGUUUGGUCUCUGGCUGGUUCCUGAAGAGGAACAAUUUUUUUAAACAUAAAAGAAUGAUUCUAAGAUCAAGGAAGUGAAGAAGUGGAUGCAAAUGAUGACUUCUAGAGGCAUCUGGACGGUUCUGAUGCUCGUAGGGUGUCGACCUGCGGGAAGGGACGGCAGCCGUCCGCCAGGCACGAUGCACUGACAUGAGCAGCCCCCGCUGACACCCCCAGGAACCCCCACUUGCCUUGGUACUUAGCUGCUUUCCUCUCAUGCCAGCACCUCCCCCCCCCCUUGUGUCUGUGACUUCACACGCAGGGGCCGCCAGGAUUUGAAGCUUCCUGAUUCUUCAUCUUUUUUGACAGCCUUAGAGAAGAAGAAUAGGCAUACAAGCAACUGUGUUAUCUUUAAAGUGGACAAUUGGAUGCGUUUUUGUCAUGUGUGCACCUGUAAAGCUAUCCCAGCAGUGAAGCUGAUGAACACAGGUCCGUCCCCCCAAAAACCAACCAGUGCUGCGGGUGCUCCCUCCUUUCUGCCCCCCCCCAUCCCCACAGUCACAAAUAAAGCUGCUAUGAACAUGCGUGUG